Molecule: long non-coding RNA, 643 nt
Filed under: Triticum aestivum (bread wheat)
Lineage: Eukaryota; Viridiplantae; Streptophyta; Magnoliopsida; Poales; Poaceae
Description: long non-coding RNA (TAES_LNC008382)
Source: RNAcentral
AAGAUAACUGACAUGAAAAGGGCCAUCAUGAUGCAGGCCUCUGUAAUCUACUGCCUCAAUCCGUUGUACGGGUAAAUUAAUUUGUAAGACAUAUAGUACCAUUAUUGGUUUUAGUGGUCUUAUUAUUAUGUUGCUAGAUAUCUGAACUGGCAAAAAUUGGCUUUGCUACUCAGCACUCACUCGUUCAUGCAAUUAUGGCUGAAUUUAAUAUGUCAGUGAUUUCAAUUCUUUUACAUAAUGGUUCAGACAAACAUCUCCAUUUGUGAUAAUUUGGAAGAAAUUUGUUGAAUCUCCCAAAAAGGACCAAAGAACAAUGAAGAAAAAAUGGGCUACAGUCAUUACAAAGUCACAACAAUAUUGUAAAAAUAGUUGAUCCAGCGGGGCAUCAAGCCUUACCUCUGUUUGGAGCUAAUCAAGCAGGUGGCUUUGUUCCAUGGCAUGGACGAGAUGAUCCUGUACAUCAUCUGCGCCCCUGAUAUUCUGCAGCAUGAGAAAGUGAUUAAGAGGGUGACCCGGUGCAGCGUAUGGUGUUCAUCUUGGAAGGGAAACCGAGGAGCAUGCAGCCGCUGACCAAGAGCAUGGUGCCAACGUGCGUGCUGGGUGCGGGAACUUACUCGGUAACGAGCUGCUGUUGUGGCGCCUG